UCCUCACCGUCAGGACUGCUG
This 21-nucleotide unclassified non-coding RNA is filed under the name Mus musculus (house mouse). RNAcentral describes it as "oocyte_clustered_small_RNA177". Lineage: Eukaryota; Metazoa; Chordata; Mammalia; Rodentia; Muridae. The record is from RNAcentral.